This 1745-nucleotide long non-coding RNA is filed under the name Homo sapiens (human). RNAcentral's name for it is "HSALNT0017335". The record is from RNAcentral. Lineage: Eukaryota; Metazoa; Chordata; Mammalia; Primates; Hominidae.
GUAUUUGAUGGGUCUGAAUGAAAAUCUGAUGAAACAGAUGUUACUUGAAGCUGAGUGACUUUCUCAGGGUCAAGCAAAUAAGUAAAUGGAGGAGCCAGAAUUAUACCCCAGGAUCCCCAUCACAAGGAGGGGAGGGCUACCAUCCCAGCUGCAAACUCUCAUUCAAGGUUUAUGCUGCAGCCAGCAGUGUCCUUGGAGUCUAGUUCAAAGCUGAAGAGAGUGAACCAUGGAACUGGGAGCCAUUGGCGGAGAGGCUGGCCUGAAGGAAGGGAAGUGUUUCAGCCAGAAUGUACUGACGCACAACCAGGAAACCACAAGACUGGUGAGAACCUUUCCAAAACUGAGCUUUAUGAUCAAAAGAGGUACAGGAAACAGCUCUGCCAAGAGUCCUUUCUGCUCCUGGCUGGAACCCUGAGCUUCUGAGGCUCUCUGAGUCAACUCUCUGAACAGAUGCUGUCACCCAAGGAACCAUCACUAAAGCAUUUUUUUGCUUUGCUCUGAGGUGGCCUCACUGAGUAACUACCAGUUGCCAUGAAAUAAAUCACAUCAUCAUAUGGCAGAUCCAGCUAAUAGCUGAGACUGGCAGGAUAACUGAACCGUGUACUCAGAGCUAAAUGAUGGAGAAAUUGGACUGGCCAUGGAGCACUUCAAAUUGAUUGCUUAGUAAUGGGAUAUUUUUCCUGGAAAGACAACAGAAUACUUCUGAAUUGUUGGUUCUGUCAUGGGUACAGGCUCCCAUGUACAGGAAAAUAAAGAAAGUGUGAUGAAUUUUUCAUCUGGCCUUCUGCCUACUUUCUUGCUUUCUGCAUGUCUCCAUUUUUAGUCUGUAAGCCCUGCCUAGAUGACCAAUCACUAUUGCCCAUGUGGCAUAAAACCUACAAUUUAACUAUACUUCUUACCAAACUCUCAGCAAGUAUGAGGUAGCCAACAGCCUUUUCAAGAUAAUGACUGAGUCUUAGCUUAGGUUUCAGUCAUUUUAGGAAACAUAAAAAAUUCAAUGGUGGGAGAUCAUACACACUCUGCAAAGAUGUCAGAAGUCAAGUUUUGGGAGAGUCCACACACAAACUGAGCAGUGAUGGUAAAAUAUAUUUUUGAAAUAUUUCUCCUCUGUGACUGUUAUGUGAAGUAGAGCAAACACAUUGUGCUGCAGUGCUCUUUGGGACAUGCCUUUUUUGGGAAGUGCUAACUUUAUACUCUGCUGACACCAAACAUUUGAAUAUAAAACCUUAUUUUUUUCUCUCACUCUGCUCCACUUUUGGCUCAGCUUAUUCUACCAAAACACACUUCAAAAGACUUCUUUAUAGAAAGAAUGUUUCAAAAAUAUAAUAUUUCCAUCUGUUAUUUCAAUAAUACAUGCUCUGGGACUCUCUUUAUGAACCACUUUCCUUUCUUUGCUCCCAUUUAGAUGUAUAAAUAUUUGAUUGUAAAGCUCUAAGGAAUAGUCAGCCAAUCGGGUCACUGAAUUGUGAACAUUCCUAACCCUAUAAUUUUGUCUGUAGCAGGCACCUCCUGCUGUGGAACUAACUGCUAAGGGAUUAUAGCAAUGUAAUCCUCAGACUGUUCCAUCUCAAGGUUACUCUGAAGUGGAGGGAAGGAAGCCGUUUUAAUUUUGAUAAAAUAAACUUUAUUUUGUAACUUUAUUAUUUGUUUUUCUUUUUCCUUUCAACACUUCAUAAUAGAUGUGUCUGGUAAUUUGAAGUUAGCCUCUCUGGUUGAGGUGCCCUAAACCACCUCGUAUUAUUGUA